RNAcentral lists this ribosomal RNA (374 nucleotides) under Nematoda sp. RNAcentral's name for it is "SSU rRNA". It matches the Rfam family "Eukaryotic small subunit ribosomal RNA", at positions 252 to 626 of the family's 1831-position model. Lineage: Eukaryota; Metazoa; Nematoda. The record is from RNAcentral.
UUGAACUAUUUAGCUGAUCGCACGGUCUAAGAACCGGCGACAUAUCCUUCAAAUGUCUGCCUUAUCAACUGUCGAUGGUAGAUUAUGCGCCUACCAUGGUUGUAACGGGUAACGGAGAAUCAGGGUUUGAUUCCGGAGAGGGAGCCUGAGAAAUGGCUACCACAUCCAAGGAAGGCAGCAGGCACGCAAAUUACCCAUUCCCGGCACGGGGAGGUAGUGACGAAAAAUAACAAGCUGGUCUCUUUGAGUUCCGGCAUUGUAAUGGGAACAACUUAAAUCAUUUAUCGAGGAUCUAUUGGAGGGCAAGUCUGGUGCCAGCAGCCGCGGUAAUUCCAGCUCCAAUAGCGUAUAUUAAAGUUGUUGCGGUUAAAAAG